AUUCAGUAGACGAGUUCCAAAUAGGACGAAGUGCGCGUCCUGGAU
Molecule: non-coding RNA, 45 nt
Filed under: Schistosoma mattheei
Lineage: Eukaryota; Metazoa; Platyhelminthes; Trematoda; Strigeidida; Schistosomatidae
Source: RNAcentral